CAGUAGCCGCGGGAAUACGAAGGGUGCAAGCGUUACUCGGAAUUACUGGGCGUAAAGCGUGCGUAGGUGGUUGUUUAAGUCCGUUGUGAAAGCCCUGGGCUCAACCUGGGAAUUGCAGUGGAUACUGGGCAACUAGAGUGUGGUAGAGGAUAGUGGAAUUUCCGGUGUAGCAGUGAAAUGCGUAGAGAUCGGAAGGAACAUCUGUGGCGAAGGCGACUAUCUGGGCCAACACUGACACUGAGGCACGAAAGCGUGGGGAGCAAACAGGAUUAGAGACCCGUGUAGUCCCUGUUCUUAUACA
This 301-nucleotide ribosomal RNA is filed under the name uncultured bacterium. RNAcentral describes it as "partial 16S ribosomal RNA". It matches the Rfam family "Bacterial small subunit ribosomal RNA", at positions 509 to 809 of the family's 1533-position model. The record is from RNAcentral.